Long non-coding RNA from Macaca fascicularis (crab-eating macaque), 2448 nucleotides. Lineage: Eukaryota; Metazoa; Chordata; Mammalia; Primates; Cercopithecidae. The record is from Ensembl.
UCGCUUCUCGGCCUUUUGGCUAAGAUCAAGUGUAGUAUCUGUUCUUAUCAGUUUAAUAUCUGAUACGUCCUCUAUCCGAGGACAAUAUAUUAAAUGGAUUUUUGGAGCAGGGAGAUGGAAUAGGAGCUUGCUCCGUCCACUCCACGCAUCGACCUGGUAUUGCAGUACCUCCAGGAACGGUGCACCACCUCCGGGGAUACAACGCGUUUGCUAAAAGUAGAAGGGGCGAGAGAGAGAGAGAGAGAGAGAGAGAGAGAGAGAGCAUGGGCGGGACGGCUUGCAAACCAAGCGUCUGUGAUACGCCGUCUUGCCGGCUCAACUGCUCGUUGGAGUACCGUGGGGUUUCUGACCUGCGGGCAGCAAACGGAACUUCUUCCUCUUCGGCCCGCUGAGUAGCUGGCACUUGAAGGCAGGUGCCAACGCACCGGCGACACGCUUCCGUGUUUGCCCAGGAAAAACUGCGGUGCAGGUAAUAUAAGCCAUGUAUCGGGCAGUCCAGCAUCGUAUUCGCCGUUCAUGCUUGAUGCAUCUGUAGGCUCCGUUCUAGGUAUGCACAUCGUUUACGGGAUCAGCCACCGGCAGCUGCCUUGCAACCGUGAUGACAAAUCUCUGCCGGCUCUUUUGGGUCUCAUCCCUGUAUCUAUAAAUUGCAUCCCAACAUAAAGAUCGGAAUGUUCCUUUUGCUGGCCCAAUCUCUCACCCUUUCCAAACUCCAGAAAUCUUGUCUGUCCUCCGCAAAACACCCCUGCUUCUUUCUCUGAAGGCGGUCUUCAGGCCGGGCACACUGGGAGGAUCGCCGGAGCCCGGAAGGCCGCAGCGAGGUGAGGUGAGAUCACACCAUUGCACUGCAGCCCCGGCUGCAGAGCCGGAGCCCCGUCUCAAAACAAACACACACACACACACACACACACACACACACACAAACACACAAAAGAAAGAGCCCAGGCAACCUAGUGAAACCCUGUUCGGCUGGUAUCUGCACCCCAGCUAUUCUAGAGGCUGAGGCAGGAGGAUGGAUGGAGGCUGGGAGGUGGGUGCUGCACUGAGCAGCGACUGCACCGCUGCACUCCAGCCUGGGUGACAGAGCCAGACCCCAUCCCAAAUCAAUAAACAUAAAAAUAAAGGAACCAGUUUGUAGAAAGCGGAGAGGGUCCCAUUGAACUUCAAGCCUUCAGGCUACAGCUGCGGCUGGACAGGUUGGAGCAGCAGGCUGGAGCAGUGGCCAUCUUGGCCGGGAUCAUUGACCCUGAUCUAUCAUCGGGAGGAGGAAGAGCUGAUCUCAUGCAGGGAGGGCAGGUGGACUACGUGUGGACUCUGGUGAUCUGUUUGGGUGCCAGGUGUUGCUCCCAGGGCCACCUGUAACUGUGAAUGUGCGGGAACCCUGACUUGAGAAGGGCGUACACGGCAGCCUCGCCCCUCAGGGAUGAGAGUUUGGUUCACGGUACCCAGGGAAACCACCAGCAUCGGCAGUGGUGAUAGCUGAGGAGGAGGGGGGAUUUGGAGGAGAGACACAGGAUGAGUAGCAGGGGCAGCCCUGUGAUCAACAACUGCUGCAAGAGGGGCUGUUUGUUCGACUCACUAGUCUUCUGCGGCUCUAUGCAGUACUGAAGAGCAGAAGACAGAAGACACAAAGACCACAAAAAUUAGCCGGGCGUGGUGCUGUGCGUCCAUAAUCCCAGCUACUCGGGAGGCUGAGACAGGAGAAUCGCUUGAACCCGGGCGGCGGAAGUUUCAGCGAGCCUAGAUCACGCCAUUCCAGUCCAACCUGAGCAUUCGAGCGAGACUCUUAUCUCGGAAAAUAAAGACAGAAUUAAAGAGCCCGGUGCGGUGGCUUACAUCUGUGAUUCCAGCGCUUUGGGAGGCCCAGGCGGGCGGAUCGCCUGAGGUCAGGAGCUCGAGACCAGCCUGGCCAACGUGGCGAAAGCCCCGGAAAAAUACAAAAAUCAGCCAGGCGUGGUGGCGUACGCCUGUAAUCCCAGUUACCCGGGAGGCUGACGCAGGAGAAUCGCUGGAACCCGGGAGGUAGAGGCUGGACUGAGCUGAGAUCGUGCCACUGCACUCCAGCCUGAGUGACAGAGCAAGACUUUGUCUCAAGAAAACACAAAACAAAACAAAACAAAACAAAAACAAACAAACAGCAACAAAAAACCCGGGCGCGGUGGCUCACGCCUGUAAUCCCAACACUUUGGGAGGCGGCAGCUGGGCAGAUCACCAGAGGUAGGGAGUUGGAGACCAGCCUGACCAACAUGGAGAAAGCCCGUCUGUACUAAAAGUACAAACUUAGCCGGGCGUGGUGGCGCAUGCCUGUAGUCCCAGCUACUCGGGAGGCUGAGGCAGGAGAAUCGCUUGAACCCGGGAGGCGGAGGGUGCGUGAGCCCAGAUCGCGCCAUUGGACUCCAGCCUGGGUAACAAGAGCGGAACCUCCGUCAGAAAAAAGAAAAAAAAAAA